Molecule: transfer RNA, 71 nt
Filed under: Ailuropoda melanoleuca (giant panda)
Lineage: Eukaryota; Metazoa; Chordata; Mammalia; Carnivora; Ursidae
Description: tRNA-Sup (TCA) (tRNA-Sup-TCA-1-1)
Rfam family: tRNA
About the family: Transfer RNA (tRNA) molecules are approximately 80 nucleotides in length. Their secondary structure includes four short double-helical elements and three loops (D, anti-codon, and T loops).
Source: Rfam by way of RNAcentral
ACCUGGCUGGCUCAGUCGGUAGAGCAUGUGACUCAAUCUCAUGGUUGUGAGUUCGAGACCCACGUUGGGUA